This 329-nucleotide ribosomal RNA is filed under the name Gibbaranea occidentalis. Its description in RNAcentral is "partial 16S ribosomal RNA". The stretch from base 70 to 329 matches the Rfam family "Bacterial large subunit ribosomal RNA", at positions 2079 to 2609 of the family's 2925-position model. The record is from RNAcentral. Lineage: Eukaryota; Metazoa; Arthropoda; Arachnida; Araneae; Araneidae.
UUCAAUUACUUUAUUAAUUAACUUUAUCAAAUUUAAACCAAGAAUAAAAAUGUUCUUAUAAAUUAAUUAGACGACAAGACCCUUUUGAACUUUACUAUUGUUUAGCUGGGGUAGCUAUAAAAUAUUAAUCUUCUUAACUUUAUUUAUAUAAAUGACCCAAUUCAAUUGAUUAUUUGAACAAGUUACCAUAGGGAUAACAGCGUAAUAUUUUUUAAAAGUUCUUAUUUAAAAAAAUGAUUGCGACCUCGAUGUUGAAUUAAUGUAACUUUAUUGAUGAAGUAAUCAUAAAAGUUGGUCUGUUCGACCAUUAAAACAUUACGUGAUCUGAG